RNAcentral lists this ribosomal RNA (560 nucleotides) under uncultured bacterium. Its description in RNAcentral is "partial 16S ribosomal RNA". It matches the Rfam family "Bacterial small subunit ribosomal RNA", at positions 355 to 905 of the family's 1533-position model. The record is from RNAcentral.
UGGGGAAUUUUGGACAAUGGGCGAAAGCCUGAUCCAGCAAUGCCGCGUGUGUGAAGAAGACCUUCGGGUUGUAAAGCACUUUUGUCCGGAAAGAAAUCCUUGGCUCUAAUACAGUCGGGGGAUGACGGUACCGGAAGAAUAAGCACCGGCUAACUACGUGCCAGCAGCCGCGGUAAUACGUAGGGUGCAAGCGUUAAUCGGAAUUACUGGGCGUAAAGCGUGCGCAGGCGGUUUGCUAAGACCGAUGUGAAAUCCCCGGGCUCAACCUGGGAACUGCAUUGGUGACUGGCAGGCUAGAGUAUGGCAGAGGGGGGUAGAAUUCCACGUGUAGCAGUGAAAUGCGUAGAGAUGUGGAGGAAUACCGAUGGCGAAGGCAGCCCCCUGGGCCAAUACUGACGCUCAUGCACGAAAGCGUGGGGAGCAAAGCAGGAUUAGAUACCCCUGGUAGUCCCACGCCCUAAACGAUGUCAACUAGUUGUUGGGGAUUCAUUUCCUUAGUAACGUAGCUAACGCGUGAAGUUGACCGCCUGGGGAGUACGGUCGCAAGAUUAAAACUCAAA